This 263-nucleotide ribosomal RNA is filed under the name uncultured bacterium. RNAcentral describes it as "partial 16S ribosomal RNA". It matches the Rfam family "Bacterial small subunit ribosomal RNA", at positions 335 to 584 of the family's 1533-position model. The record is from RNAcentral.
ACUCCUACGGGAGGCAGCAGUGGGGAAUAUUGCACAAUGGGCGCAAGCCUUGAUGCAGCCAUGCCGUGUGGGUGAAGCAAGGCCUUCGGGGUUNUAAAGCACUUUCAGUUGUGAGGAAGGUGGUGUCGUUAAUAGCGGCAUCCAUUUGACGUUAGCAACAGAAGAAGCACCGGCUAACUCCGUGCCGACCCGGCGGUUAAUACGGAGGGUGCUGANACGUUAAUCGGAAUUACUGGGCGUAAAGCGCAUGCAGGUGGUUUGUU